ACUCAGACAAACGUAAGGGUAUAUGGUGAAUGCCUUGACACGAAAAGCCGAAGAAGGACGUUGCAGUCUGCGAUAAGCCUCGGGGAGGUGACAAGCUACCUUUGAUCCGGGGAUUUCCGAAUGGGUAAACCCAAACUAUGUUCGCAUAGUUUAUCCUGCCUUUGGCAGGAAGGGCACUCGGCGAAGUGAAACAUCUCAGUAGCCGAAGGAAAAGAAAAAAAUGCCUUGCUUUGCAAGGUGCAUUUCCUCAGUAGCGGCGAGCGAACGGGAAAGAGUCCAAACCGCAAAUUUAUUUGCGGGGUAGUAGGUAUUACAUUUAUACGUUUAUAGUAUUGGUUAGUCGAAGGCUUCUGGAAAGAACUACCAUAGAGGGUAAUAGUCCCGUAGGCGAAAACCUAUUAUAAACAUCGUAAUAUUCUGGAGUACUACGAGUUAAGUGGAAUCUCGUAGGAAGCUGGGAGAACUACUCUCCCAAGACUAAAUACUUUUCGUGAUCGAUAGUGAACUAGUACCGUGAGGGAAAGGUGAAAAGUAUCCCGAGAGGGAGUUGAAAUAGUAUCUGAAACCAUAUACUUACAAGGAGUGGGAGCCUCUUUAUGGGGUGACCGCGUGCUUUUUGCAGAACGAACCAACGAGUUACUAUUAGAAGCAAGGUUAACCUUUUUAUUAGGGAAGCCGCAGUGAAAGCGAGCGUUAAUCCGCGUUUAGUUUCUAGUAGUAGACCCGAAACCAGGUGAGCUAUCCAUGGCCAGGUUGAAUCUUUCCGAAAGGAAAGAAGAGGACCGAACCCACUAGUCGUUCAACUCUAGGGGAUGAGCUGUGGAUAGGGGUGAAAAGCCAAUCGAACCUGGUAAUAGCUGGUUCUCCUCGAAAUAGCUCUAGGGCUAGCCUUCUUGAUUUCUUCUGGGGGUAGAGCACUGGAUGGAUGUGGAUGGUUUAUACCUACCGCGUCUAACCAAACUCCGAAUACCAGAAGUUUAACAAGGGGAGUUAGAACAUGGGGGCUAAGCUUCAUGUUCAAAAGGGAAACAGCCCAGAUCGUAAUUUAAGGUCCCUAAGUGUAAGCUAAGUGUUAGGAAAGAAGUGAAACGACUCAGACAGCUAGGAUGUUGGCUUAGAAGCAGCCAUUCAUUGAAAGAGUGCGUAACAGCUCACUAGUUAAGUUGUUUUGCGCUGAAAAUAUAGCGGGACUAAGCUUACCACCGAAGAUACGGGCCACAUUGUGGCGGUAGAGGAGUGUUCUAUGGGCACCGAAGCUCGAUUGUGAAGUCGGGUGGAGCGCAUAGAAGUAAGAAUGUUGGUAUGAGUAACAAUAAUCCCGGUGAGAACCCGGGACACCGAUAGUCUAAGGUUUCCUAGGCAAUGACGAUCAACCUAGGGUUAGUCGGGCCUAAGCCGAAGCCGAAGGGCGUAGGCGAUGGACAGCAGGUUAAUAUUCCUGCGCUUUUGUAAAUGUUCCUCUAAGAUGACGCAGUGUGGUAGGUAAGGUGUGUUUUGGUUAUAUACAUUUGCUCUGUGAAAGCAGAGUGAGCAGGAUGCGGUUCGCCAAAUCCAAUCUUACUGACCCUUAUUGACCAGAAAAGUUUUAGAAUUAAGUUUACAAAAUCCGUACCGUAAACCAACACAGGUGGACAAGUGUAAGAGUACUAAGGUGUACGGAAUAACCUUUGCUAAGGAACUCGGCAAAACAAUGGGUGUAACUUCGGGAUAAACCCUCCCCGCUCCUUCUAGGUAUUAAAAUUUCAUUUAUUUGAAUUAAUGCUUGGAAGGAGCGGGGCGCAGUGAAAGACUCCGGGCGACUGUUUACCAAAAACAUAGGUCCCUGCUAACUCGCAAGAGGAUGUAUAGGGGCUGACGCCUGGCCAGUAUCAGAACGUUAAGGUGAUCUGUGCAAGCAGAGACCCUAAGCGCUGAUGAACGCCGGCCGUAACUAUAACGGUCCUAAGGUAGCGAAGUUCCUUGUCGGAUAAAUACCGACCCGCAUGAAUGGCGUAACGACUUGGAGACUGUCUUCAGCAAAGGAUCCGGUGAAAUUACAUUGGCGGUAAAGAUGCCGUCGACUUGUGGCAAGACGGAAAGACCCCGUGAAGCUUUACUACAACUUGACAUUGAUUUGAGAUUUAGUUUGUUCAGUAUAGAUGGGAGCCUUCGGGCACCAGUGAGAUACCAUCCUUACUGAGUUUUAAGUCUAACUGCAGUUUAUCUGCAAAACAGUGUCUGGUGGGUAGUUUGACUGGGGUGGUCGCCUCCUAAAAUGUAACGGAGGCGUUUACAAAGGUAGGCUAGUCCCGGAUGGAAAUCGGGAUGAUAGUGCAAAAGCAUAAGCCUGCUUUACUGGAAGGGAUACAACCCGACCAGUUACGAAAGUAGAAUUUAGUGAUCCGACCGUAGCUCGUAGGAGCGCGGAAGCUCAGCGGAUAAAAGUUACUCCGGGGAUAACAGGCUAAUAGCGCCCAAUAGUUCACAUAGACGGCGCUGUUUGGCACCUCGAUGUCGGCUCGUCGCAUCCUGGGGCUGGAGAAGGUCCCAAGGGUUUGGCUGUUCGCCAAUUAAAGCGGUACGCGAGCUGGGUUCAAACCGUCGUGAGACAGGUUGGUCCCUAUCUGCCACAAGCGUGGAGACUUGAGAAGAUUUGCCCCUAGUACGAGAGGACCGGGGUGGAUAAGCCUCUAGUGUACCAGUUGUCGCACCCGCGGCAAGGCUGGGUAGCUACGCUUAGCAUGGAUAAGCGCUGAAAGCAUAUAAGCGCGAAGCCAGCUUCAAGAUUAGGUCUCAAUAUAGACUUCCUGGAGAUUACAGGAUAUAUAGGCUGUAGGUGCAAGUCCCGCGAGGGAUUAAGCCGAGCAGUACUAAUCAGUCAAUUUGUUUGAGUAU
Molecule: ribosomal RNA, 2874 nt
Filed under: Patescibacteria group bacterium
Lineage: Bacteria
Description: 23S ribosomal RNA
Rfam family: Bacterial large subunit ribosomal RNA
Source: RNAcentral